This is a non-coding RNA of Schizosaccharomyces pombe (fission yeast), 435 nucleotides long. Lineage: Eukaryota; Fungi; Ascomycota; Schizosaccharomycetes; Schizosaccharomycetales; Schizosaccharomycetaceae. The record is from the annotation of a GenBank genome assembly.
UUUAGAGUUCUGAUCAUCUUUGACAUUUCGUUUCCGCAAUCCUUCCACUCCUUUAACGUCAGUUUGAGUUGAAGAAGCAGAAGGUUUGUUUACACUUGAAGUCUCUUCACCGUCUUUCUUUGGCUUAGAGAGCGAAGACGGACGCUCAUGUAUUAAAAUGCGGAUUCCCUUAUCCAUUAGAAAGAAUACUAGGGCUCCAAUAAGGAUUGAAUAAACAGAAGAUGCUGGAAAAUCUCCUCCAUUUGUCGAAUACACAGUAGGAAGUAAUUGUAGAAAAACAUCGCCUAAUAAACUACCUGCAGAAACUGCCACGAACAGAUUUAACAUACUCGUGUCGAACGACUUGGGAACAAGAAGAAUAAAAAUGUUAGGUGGUAUUGCUGUUAAGAAAGUCGCGAGAAUUCCAUUCGUUCCCGAGGAGUAAGAGAACUGCUU